Molecule: small RNA, 578 nt
Filed under: Pongo abelii (Sumatran orangutan)
Lineage: Eukaryota; Metazoa; Chordata; Mammalia; Primates; Hominidae
Description: processed transcript
Source: RNAcentral
GACUUGGAGAGAGACUUUGUGCUUCAAUGUUUCAGAGAUGAGGUCUUGCUGGCCUUGAACUCCUGCACCCAAGAAAUCCUCCUGCCUCAGCUUCCCCAGUAGCUGGGACUACAGGUAUGUACCACUGUGCCCAGCUCAACGAAUACUUAUUGAGAGUGUACCAGGGGACACAAGGUUUUAGGUACUGGGGAUAUAACAGUGAACAAAGCCCAGGCAUGGUGGCUCAUGCCUGUAAUCCUAGCACUUUGGGAGGCUGAGGCGGGAGGAUCUCUUGAGUCCAGAAGUUUGAGAUCAGCCUGGGCAACACAGUGCCAUCUCAUCUAUCUAAAAGAUUUAAAAAUUAGCCAGGCAUGAUGGCGUGUGCCUAUAGUCCCAGCUUCCUAGUGAUACUAUGGAGGCUGAGGUGGGAGGAUUGCUUGAGCCUGGAAGGUUGAGGCUAUAGUGAGCCAUGGAAACGGAAUGAGACCCCAUCUCUAAAAACAAAAACAUGUACCAAACAGACACAGGGCUGCACUUAUGGAACUGACAUCCCAGUGGAAUAUUUAGAGAAGUCAGAUGUAUCACACUCAAAUUGUUUU